CAGCAGCCGCGGUAAUACGAAGGGUGCAAGCGUUACUCGGAAUUACUGGGCGUAAAGCGUGCGUAGGCGGCUUCUUAAGUCGGAUGUGAAAUCCCUGAGCUUAACUUAGGAAUUGCAUUCGAUACUGGGAAGCUAGAGUAUGGGAGAGGAUGGUAGAAUUCCAGGUGUAGCGGUGAAAUGCGUAGAGAUCUGGAGGAAUACCGAUGGCGAAGGCAGCCAUCUGGCCUAAUACUGACGCUGAGGUACGAAAGCAUGGGGAGCAAACAGGAUUAGAUACCCCUGUAGUCCCUGUCUCUUAUAC
This 301-nucleotide ribosomal RNA is filed under the name uncultured bacterium. Its description in RNAcentral is "partial 16S ribosomal RNA". It matches the Rfam family "Bacterial small subunit ribosomal RNA", at positions 509 to 807 of the family's 1533-position model. The record is from RNAcentral.